UACGUAGGGUGCAAGCGUUGUCCGGAAUUAUUGGGCGUAAAGAGCUCGUAGGCGGUUCGUCGCGUCGGCUGUGAAAUCCCGAGGCUCAACCUCGGGUCUGCAGUCGAUACGGGCGGACUGGAGUUCGGCAGGGGAGACUGGAAUUCCUGGUGUAGCGGUGAAAUGCGCAGAUAUCAGGAGGAACACCGGUGGCGAAGGCGGGCCUCUGGGCCGAUACUGACGCUGAGGAGCGAAAGCGUGGGGAGCGAACAGG
This 253-nucleotide ribosomal RNA is filed under the name uncultured bacterium. RNAcentral describes it as "partial 16S ribosomal RNA". It matches the Rfam family "Bacterial small subunit ribosomal RNA", at positions 524 to 776 of the family's 1533-position model. The record is from RNAcentral.